CCUACGGGAGGCAGCAGUGGGGGAUAUUGCACAAUGGGGGGAACCCUGAUGCAGCGACGCCGCGUGGGUGAAGGAGUGCUUCGGCAUGUAAAGCCCUAUCGGCAGGGAAGAAGCAAGACGGUACCUGACUAAGAAGCCCCGGCUAACUAGGUGCCAGCAGCCGCGGUAAUACGUAGGGGGCGAGCGUUAUCCGGCUUCACUGGGUGUAAAGGGAGGGUAGACGGCCAUGCAAGCCAGGGGUGAAAGCCCGGGGCCCAACCCCGGGACUACCCUUGGAACUGGGCGGCUAGAGUGCGGGAGGGGCAGGCGGAAUUCCUGGUGUAGCGGUGAAAUGCGUAGAUAUCAGGAGGAACACCGGCGGCGAAGGCGGCCUGCUGGACCGCGACUGACGUUGAGGCUCGAAAGCGUGGGGAGCGAACAGGAUUAGAUACCCUAGUAGUC
This 441-nucleotide ribosomal RNA is filed under the name uncultured bacterium. RNAcentral describes it as "partial 16S ribosomal RNA". It matches the Rfam family "Bacterial small subunit ribosomal RNA", at positions 338 to 795 of the family's 1533-position model. The record is from RNAcentral.